Molecule: ribosomal RNA, 547 nt
Filed under: uncultured Glomus
Lineage: Eukaryota; Fungi; Glomeromycota; Glomeromycetes; Glomerales; Glomeraceae
Description: SSU rRNA
Rfam family: Eukaryotic small subunit ribosomal RNA
Source: RNAcentral
UUGGAGGGCAAGUCUGGUGCCAGCAGCCGCGGUAAUUCCAGCUCCAAUAGCGUAUAUUAAAGUUGUUGCAGUUAAAAAGCUCGUAGUUGAAUUUCGGGAUCAGUACGCUGGUCGUGCCUUCGGUAUGCACUGGUGUCACUGGUUUCUCCCUUCUGAAGAACCGUCAUGCCAUUCAGUUGGUGUGGCGGGGAAUCAGGACUGUUACUUUGAAAAAAUUAGAGUGUUUAAAGCAGGCAUACGCUUGAAUACAUUAGCAUGGAAUAAUGAAAUAGGACAUCCGAUUCUAUUUUGUCGGUUUCUAGGAUCGAUGUAAUGAUUAAUAGGGAUAGUUGGGGGCAUUAGUAUUCAAUUGUCAGAGGUGAAAUUCUUGGAUUUAUUGAAGACUAACUACUGCGAAAGCAUUUGCCAAGGAUGUUUUCAUUAAUCAAGAACGAAAGUUAGGGGAUCGAAGACGAUCAGAUACCGUCGUAGUCUUAACCAUAAACUAUGCCGACUAGGGAUCGGAUGAUGUUAUUUUUAAUGACUCAUUCGGCGCCUUACGGGAAAC